GUCAUCACGAACCACUGAGAGGGAAGCCUCCAAGAUCCUAGAGCGGAGCACCAGGUGCCUGGGGAGAGGUUCCGCGGAAAUCGACUUCUCCAGGCCAGCGUGGGCGUCAAACGGUCCGUCGGCUCAUCAAAUCACUGUUUUCCGGGAUGGAGGUUUGCAGACAGAGUCAUCUGGGUGGAGAACACUCUUCUGGGAUCAGCACUGAAGUGAUGCCAUGUCCCACCCAGACCAGCACAACUAUGGUGACUCCUGGCCUUAAAUAAGGAGUUGUUUCAAAGCAGAGUUUUCCAGAAGAAGUCUAACACACAAGGGAGAUGUUCAGAAGACUAAUGGGAACAUCAUCAGGGUCUCCACACUUGGACAGGUUCAUGGGCUUCUGAAUAAUUUACCGAAGUGAGGGAGGAGCCCCUCUGAGGACGCACAAAUUACAUUGCCUCAAGCCAUGGAGAAUAUCAGUCUGAUAAAAAGAGGCCUAAGACACCUGGGUGAAUUCACUCCGAAGUUCAGUCCUGUGAGUGCUCUGGGCGUGGGAAGUUCUCCAUUCAGCUUGUGCACAAUUUCCAACUUCAACUGUAAUGAAAGAAGCAGCUUCUCAUUGUAAAGAGGGUGGAAGUCAUUGAUCCAAAAAUAUCCCUUCCUAAUAAAACAAAGCCUAACACACAAGCAGCCCGGACCAAGCACCAGUAUGUCCAAACUUAAAGAAAGCCCUAUAGAUCCUCAACCUGGAAUGACCUUCAGUGUAAACCCAAGUCUCAUUAAACAACAGAGAAGCCAUCCUGAGAAGAGUUUCAUGAGAAUAAAGAAUGUGGCAAAACCUUCAGACCCUGUGGAGUGAUCUUGUCAGACAUCAGAGAACCCUUAGUGAUAUCUUCAGUGUCAGAAGCCUUCUGUCUGAGCCCAAGUCUAAUUAAACAUAAGCAAAUUCAUUUUGGACAGGAGCCUUAUCUGUCAUGAGUGUGGCAAAGCUAAGUUCUCUAAUAGCCUUGCUAAACAUCAGAGAAUCCACACUGAAGAGAAAACUUAUCA
Hippopotamus amphibius kiboko is the source of this 1026-nucleotide long non-coding RNA. RefSeq lists it as uncharacterized. The record is from RefSeq and is a predicted model, not a curated record. The transcript is spliced from 3 exons. Lineage: Eukaryota; Metazoa; Chordata; Mammalia; Artiodactyla; Hippopotamidae.